RNAcentral lists this non-coding RNA (28 nucleotides) under Mus musculus (house mouse). The record is from RNAcentral. Lineage: Eukaryota; Metazoa; Chordata; Mammalia; Rodentia; Muridae.
UAUGGCCUUCAGCGGUGAAAUGUACCCU